GCUACUGGAUGGUCUAGGUGUCCCACAAGCUUACCGAAAUCAGCCAUUCUCCGAAUGCCGGUGAGUGAGAGCGCGGCAGUGAGACUGCGGGCGAUAAGGUUCGUAUUCGAGAGGGAAACAGCCCAGAUCGCCAGCUAAGGUCCCUAAGCGUGUACUAAGUGGAAAAGGAUGUGGGGUCGCGAAGACAACCAGGAGGUUGGCUUAGAAGCAGCCACCCUUGAAAGAGUGCGUAAUAGCUCACUGGUCAAGUGAUCCUGC
Molecule: ribosomal RNA, 258 nt
Filed under: Escherichia coli
Lineage: Bacteria; Pseudomonadati; Pseudomonadota; Gammaproteobacteria; Enterobacterales; Enterobacteriaceae
Description: partial 23S ribosomal RNA
Rfam family: Bacterial large subunit ribosomal RNA
Source: RNAcentral